Molecule: ribosomal RNA, 497 nt
Filed under: uncultured bacterium
Lineage: Bacteria
Description: partial 16S ribosomal RNA
Rfam family: Bacterial small subunit ribosomal RNA
Source: RNAcentral
GAUGAACGCUGGCGGCGUGCCUAAUACAUGCCAGUCGAGCGAACGGACGAGAAGCUUGCUUCUCUGAUGUUAGCGGCGGACGGGUGAGUAACACGUGGAUAACCUACCUAUAAGACUGGGAUAACUUCGGGAAACCGGAGCUAAUACCGGAUAAUAUUUUGAACCGCAUGGUUCAAAAGUGAAAGACGGUCUUGCUGUCACUUAUAGAUGGAUCCGUGCUGGAUUAGCUAGUUGGUAAGGUAACGGCUUACCAAGGCAACGAUGCAUAGCCGACCUGAGAGGAUGAUCGGCCACACUGGAACUGAGACACGGUCCAGACUCCUACGGGAGGCAGCAGUAGGGAAUCUUGCGCAAUGGGCGAAAGCCUGACGGAGCAACGCCGCGUGAGUGAUGAAGGUCUUCGGAUCGUAAAACUCUGUUAUUAGGGAAGAACAUAUGUGUAAGUAACUGUGCACAUCUUGACGGUACCUAAACAGAAAGCCACGGCUAACUACGUG